Molecule: ribosomal RNA, 450 nt
Filed under: uncultured bacterium
Lineage: Bacteria
Description: partial 16S ribosomal RNA
Rfam family: Bacterial small subunit ribosomal RNA
Source: RNAcentral
CCCAGACUCCUACGGGAGGCAGCAGUGGGGAAUAUUGGGCAAUGGGCGCAAGCCUGACCCAGCAAUGCCGCGUGAAGGAAGAAGGCCUUCGGGUUGUAAACUUCUUUUAUCAGGGACGAAGGAUGUGACGGUACCUGAUGAAUAAGCUCCGGCUAACUCCGUGCCAGCAGCCGCGGUAAUACGGAGGAUCCGAGCGUUAUCCGGAUUCAUUGGGUUUAAAGGGUGCGUAGGUUGUUUUAUAAGUUAGCGGUGAAAUACCGAUGCUCAACAUCGGGGCUGCCGCUAAUACUGUAGGACUAGAGAUCGGAUGCAGCAGGCGGAAUGUGUAGUGUAGCGGUGAAAUGCAUAGAUAUUACACAGAACACCGAUUGCGAGGGCAGCUUGCUAGGCCGGAUCUGACACUGAUGCACGAAAGCGUGGGGAUCGAACAGGAUUAGAUACCCCGGUAAU